This is a long non-coding RNA of Myotis brandtii (Brandt's bat), 1592 nucleotides long. RefSeq lists it as uncharacterized. The transcript has 3 exons. Lineage: Eukaryota; Metazoa; Chordata; Mammalia; Chiroptera; Vespertilionidae. The record is from RefSeq and is a predicted model, not a curated record.
GGUCCCCCAGCCGGCGGCUCGGCCGAGGCCGCUCGUGUGGAGCUGAGACCCAGUUAUUUCGCCACAAGAGACAGUACUUCUCCGUCCUGGGUGUCCUCUGUGGUGAUGCGUCACCCCCUCAGUCCUCGCCCGACACCCCGCACCCAGACUCCCUCACGUCUGUGAGCACAGCCCUGGGAGAGGCAGGGGGACCCCGCCGGCGCUAGCGCGCAGCCAUCAGCUGUGGAGCGACCGCUGCGAGCCCAGCAAGCACCGUUCUCUUAGGGCCUGGACUGCGGUGCAGCAGGAUGGAUGCAUUUCCUCAGACCUGCUGUGAGCAGCGCAAAUACCCCAGGGAGUGUGAUAUUGCUCCUGGCUUUGAUAAUGCAAUGGAGUUAACCGUUAACCGUCUUCAGGACUAGAGUGGUUGAGUAGCAGGUGCUAGGCUUAAGGACCCAAGAACAAAGCCCUGGUGGCACCCUAAAAGCAAAGGCACCUCUGUAGGACAACUCCUGACUCAAGCCCAGAUCUCUCCAGGGGACAGAUGACGUGUCCUCAAAACCAACGCUUCCUUCAAAAUAACAUUCUUAGUGUACAAAAGCUGCUGGGCAGAAUUCUAGCUCUGCAGGUAGAAAAUAAAAAAAAACGUAAGAAUGAGGAACUGACAGGCGCACAGAGUAAUGAUUGCGGAGCUUUGUGUCUGUGGGGUAGACACAGGCCCACCCUGCAGAGUGCAGGGCUGCCUCACUGAACCUGGUGAGAGAGAAACUGCCACCCAUCAGGGUGGACAGCUGGGAGUCUCCGCCUUCACACUCAAAAACGAAGCCCCACAAAAACUAGAGCACUCCCCCUGGCAGCUGACUCACCACCGGACAAUAGCGGAGACAAAGCAAAGAUGUAAAUCUCAUUUUAUACCUCCCUGGCAGGCUCCGUUCAACUCUUACAAUAGAAAGGCUACUAGGACGCUGGUUCCAGGACAUACACAGUGUCUCAGUGCUCCUGACACUUUCAAGAGAGGACUUUUCCUUCAUGUGAUGACUCAGAAUUACAGAAGCUGCUCCACCUUGACCUGAAAUCAAAGCCCAGGACAGAGCCAGGAGGAAAUGGUGCUGACGUGGGCAAGGGGCCUGGAAUGCUAGCAGCUGGGGCUGAGGGCGCCUCAGCCUAACAAAGGGGCAGUACAACAACCAGGCUGCACCAAUAGAUUUCCAGUAUUUCUCUGAGGACUCCGCGGGAUGUGGGCCAUGCUGUCUUCCGUUCCACGUGGCGGAACACUCCCCCGUCUACCAAAGAGGAAACUGGGGCACAGAGAGGGAUCAAGAGAGAGAAAGUCAAUCAAGCCAUGAAACGAAACAGAAAAAGACCCAACUUCCCGACCUUCCAGUCCUACACUGUUCUUGGGGUUUGGCUCCGACCACUAAGAUGAUGGGAUCUUAGGAAUGAGGAUGAGCGGUGGUGAGAUUCUGGCACAAAUCCCCAAAGACCAUUCAGGAAGAAUGGCUCUUCUAAUGAGACAGCCUUGCUUGGGCGCAGUGGGACAAUUCCCUCUCCUGGGCUGGCCCCUUUUCCACUUUUCCUUUUCGCCACAUCAAUAAAGUUUCUCUUUCGUGUGA